AUGGUCGAUGGUGUUGUCCAAGUCUAUGCGGAUAAAGACCGUACGGAAAGGAUUUAUCCUGUUGCUGAUGCUACAACCUUUUUCACCGACUUACAUUAUGUUCUCCGGAUGACUGCCGCGGGGAACACAAGAACUGUCUGCCAUAACCGACUGAAUCUUCUAGAACAUAAGUUCAAAUUUCAUCUGAUGUUAAACGCGGACAGGGAGUUUCUUGCCCAAAAAACUACACCACAUCGUGAUAUUUACAAUGUUAGGAAGGUCGACACUCAUGUUCACCACUCAGCAUGCAUGAAUCAGAAACAUUUGCUGAGAUUCAUCAAGUCCAAACUGAGAAAAGAACCUGAUGAGGUUGUCAUUUUCAGAGAUGGUACAUAUAUGACUUUGAAGGAGGUUUUUGAGAGCUUGGGCUUAACUGGGUAUGACUUGAAUGUUGAUUUGCUAGAUGUCCAUGCGGACAAAAGUACGUUUCAUCGUUUUGACAAAUUCAACCUUAAAUACAAUCCAUGUGGCCAAAGUAGGCUACGGGAGAUUUUCCUUAAACAGGACAAUCUUAUUCAAGAUCGACUUGCAAUGUUGAACAGAUCACUAUGUUAG
This 594-nucleotide ribosomal RNA is filed under the name Triticum aestivum (bread wheat). Its description in RNAcentral is "partial small subunit ribosomal RNA". Lineage: Eukaryota; Viridiplantae; Streptophyta; Magnoliopsida; Poales; Poaceae. The record is from RNAcentral.